UACUUGGUUGAUCCUGCCAAGGAAGCACACUUAGGUCAUAGAUUAAGCCAUGCAAGUGUUAGUUCAGGUAACGAAACUGCGAAUAGCUCAUUAAUACGCUCAGAAUCUAUUUGGCGGCGACCAACAGGUCUUAAAUGGAUAGCAGCAGCAACUCUGGUGCUAAUACAUGCGAUUGUUUCUCCAGAUGUGAAUUAUGGAGGAAAAGUUGACCUCAUCAGAGGCACGCCAUUCGACUGAGUGACCUAUCAGCUUGUACUUAGGGUCUUUACCUAGGUAGGCUAUCACGGGUAACGGGCGGUUACCGUCGGACUGCCGGAGAAGGCGCCUGAGAGAUAGCGACUAUAUCCACGGGUAGCAGCAGGCGCGAAACUUUCCCACUCGAGACUUUCGGAGGAGGUAAUGACCAGUUCCAUUGGUGCCUUUUGGUACUGUGGAUAGGGGUACGGUUUUCCACCGUACCGAAACCUAGCAGAGGGCCAGUCUGGUGCCAGCAGCUGCGGUAAUUCCAGCUCUGCGAGUUUGCUCCCAUAUUGUUGCAGUUAAAACGCCCGUAGUCUGAAUUGGCCAGCAAUGGUCGUACGUAUUUUUACGUUCACUGUGAACAAAUCAGGACGCUUAGAGUAUGGCCACAUGAAUGACUCAGCGCAGUAUGAAGUCUUUGUUUUCUUCCGAAAACAAGCUCAAUGAGAGCCAUCGGGGGUAGAUCUAUCUCAUGACGAGUGGUGGAAUACUUUGACUCAUGAGAGAGAAGCUGAGGCGAAGGCGUCUACCUAGAGGGUUUCUGUCGAUCAAGGGCGAGAGUAGGAGUAUCCAACCAGGAUUAGAGACCCUGGUAGUUUCCUACCUAA
RNAcentral lists this non-coding RNA (848 nucleotides) under Trichomonas vaginalis G3. RNAcentral describes it as "Eukaryotic small subunit ribosomal RNA". It matches the Rfam family "Eukaryotic small subunit ribosomal RNA", at positions 1 to 1034 of the family's 1831-position model. Lineage: Eukaryota; Parabasalia; Trichomonadida; Trichomonadidae. The record is from Rfam by way of RNAcentral.